RNAcentral lists this ribosomal RNA (499 nucleotides) under uncultured bacterium. Its description in RNAcentral is "bacterial SSU rRNA". It matches the Rfam family "Bacterial small subunit ribosomal RNA", at positions 29 to 517 of the family's 1533-position model. The record is from RNAcentral.
AGUGAACGCUGGCGGCAGGCCUAAUACAUGCAAGUCGAACGGCAGCACAGCAGAGCUUGCUCUGUGGGUGGCGAGUGGCGGACGGGUGAGGAAUACAUGGGAAUCUGCCCAGUCGUGGGGGAUAACGUAGGGAAACUUACGCUAAUACCGCAUGCGCCCUUCGGGGGAAAGCCGGGGACCUUCGGGCCUGGCGCGGUUGGAUGAGCCCAUGUCGGAUUAGCUAGUUGGCGGGGUAAUGGCCCACCAAGGCGACGAUCCGUAGCUGGUCUGAGAGGAUGAUCAGCCACACUGGAACUGAGACACGGUCCAGACUCCUACGGGAGGCAGCAGUAGGGAAUAUUGGACAAUGGGCGCAAGCCUGAUCCAGCCAUGCCGCGUGAGUGAAGAAGGCCCUCGGGUUGUAAAGCUCUUUUGUCCGGAAAGAAAAGCGCCGGGUUAAUACCCUGGUGUCCUGACGGUACCGGAAGAUAAGCACCGGCUAACUUCGUGCCAGCAGCCG